GAUGAAGAACGCAGCGAAAUGCGAUAAGUAAUGUGAAUUGCAGAAUUCAGUGAAUCAUCGAAUCUUUGAACGCACAUUGCGCCCGCCAGUAUUCUGGCGGGCAUGCCUGUUCGAGCGUCAUUACAACCCUCAGGCCCCCGGGCCUGGCGUUGGGGAUCAGCGGAAGCCCCCUGUGGGCACACGCCGUCCCUCAAAUACAGUGGCGGUCCCGCCGCAGCUUCCAUUGCGUAGUAGCUAACACCUCGCAACUGGAGAGCGGCGCGGCCAUGCCGUAAAACACCCAACUUCUGAAUGUUGACCUCGAAUCAGGUAGGAAUACCCGCUGAACUUAAGCAUAUCAAUAAGCGGAGGA
RNAcentral lists this unclassified non-coding RNA (352 nucleotides) under soil metagenome. RNAcentral's name for it is "partial contains 5.8S ribosomal RNA, internal transcribed spacer 2, and large subunit ribosomal RNA". The stretch from base 1 to 120 matches the Rfam family "5.8S ribosomal RNA", at positions 35 to 154 of the family's 154-position model. The record is from RNAcentral.